RNAcentral lists this ribosomal RNA (494 nucleotides) under uncultured bacterium. RNAcentral's name for it is "partial 16S ribosomal RNA". It matches the Rfam family "Bacterial small subunit ribosomal RNA", at positions 28 to 507 of the family's 1533-position model. The record is from RNAcentral.
GACGAACGCUGGCGGCGUGCUUAACACAUGCAAGUCGAACGGAAAGGCCUGCUUUCCCUUGUGGAUUGCGGGUACUCGAGUGGCGAACGGGUGAGUAACACGUGAGUGAUCUGCCCCCAACUUGGGUAUAAGCCUGGGAAACUGGGUCUAAUUCCCGAUAGGACUGCAGGGUGGUGCCUGUGGUGGAAAACGAUUUUCUAGUGGUUGGGGAUGAGCUCGCGGCCUAUCAGCUUGUUGGUGGGGUAAUGGCCUACCAAAGCGGCGACGGGUAGCCGGCCUGAGAGGGUGGACGGCCACAUUGGGACUGAGAUACGGCCCAGACUCCUACGGGAGGCAGCAGUGGGGAAUAUUGCACAAUGGGCGGAAGCCUGAUGCAGCGACGCCGAGUGGGGGAUGACGGCCUUCGGGUUGUAAACUCCUUUCGACCGCGAGGAAGCCACCUGGUUGGAAGGGUGGUGACGGUAGUGGUAGAAGAAGCACCGGCUAACUACGUG